GCGGUUGUGGCGGAAUUGGCAGACGCGCACGGUUCAGGUCCGUGUGA
This 47-nucleotide transfer RNA is filed under the name Eubacterium pyruvativorans. RNAcentral's name for it is "tRNA_Leu_CAG". The record is from RNAcentral. Lineage: Bacteria; Bacillati; Bacillota; Clostridia; Eubacteriales; Eubacteriaceae.